Molecule: ribosomal RNA, 550 nt
Filed under: uncultured bacterium
Lineage: Bacteria
Description: bacterial SSU rRNA
Rfam family: Bacterial small subunit ribosomal RNA
Source: RNAcentral
ACACAUGCAAGUCGAACGAGAGAGAAGGAGCUUGCUUCUUCGAUCGAGUGGCGAACGGGUGAGUAACGCGUGAGGAACCUGCCUCAAAGAGGGGGACAACAGUUGGAAACGACUGCUAAUACCGCAUAAGCCCACGGAUCGGCAUCGAUCUGAGGGAAAAGGAGCAAUCCGCUUUGAGAUGGCCUCGCGUCCGAUUAGCUAGUUGGUGAGGUAACGGCCCACCAAGGCGACGAUCGGUAGCCGGACUGAGAGGUUGAACGGCCACAUUGGGACUGAGACACGGCCCAGACUCCUACGGGAGGCAGCAGUGGGGAAUAUUGCACAAUGGGGGAAACCCUGAUGCAGCGACGCCGCGUGGAGGAAGAAGGUCUUCGGAUUGUAAACUCCUGUUGUUGAGGAAGAUAAUGACGGUACUCAACAAGGAAGUGACGGCUAACUACGUGCCAGCAGCCGCGGUAAAACGUAGGUCACAAGCGUUGUCCGGAAUUACUGGGUGUAAAGGGAGCGCAGGCGGGAAGACAAGUUGGAAGUGAAAUCUAUGGGCUCAACC